AAGAGAGUGCUAAGUUAGUAGCAGAAAAUGAAUUUGUCCCUGGCUGAUGUGAAUCAACAGCACGCAGAUUCCGGCUUCAUUCAGAUGAAAAACCAUGGAGAUUAGCUAGCCACUGAUAGCCGGGAGGCUCCACUGGCUAUUGCGCUUUCUGGCCAGCUAGCAAACUAAGCUCCUGUUUCUCUUGGCACUGACCACGCAUGGGUGAGCUGGAUUAUGUUGGAGAACCUCUCUUGAUGCAUUUUCAUUUGCUGCGUGGUUCCUACCUGAUUUUGUACGAUCUCCUUACCUCCAAAUGGAUAACUUUCCCCCCUGCUUGUUCCUCGCACACUUUUGAGAUAAAUUUAAUACUUUAAUAAAACCCCAAAGUCAUCAGUUAUAAGUCUGGCUUCCCCCACCAUCUUUUCCUCCUUUGUUUUUGCAAGAUGCAGAGUGGUGAGCUGCCUAGCUUGGAUGAGAAGAGCUGUUGUAAUGAUGACUGAACUCAAACACUCUAAAGGGAGCACAUCUUAUAUUAUGCUGACCCGUUCAGAAAUUUCAUAAGGAUCUGACUUCCCUUUGAAGAGACCAGACAGACACCUCUGGAAGUUUACAAGUAAGGCGUGAAAGCAACAGCCCUCCCCAGCAUGUUGUACUCAAAGAUCUGGUUUUUAUGUAGCAGUUUUUACAGCUCUUUUCGAAAACAGUCUUCUCUCUCCACUUCUGCAAGAGCCUGGUGUCUCUUCCACAAGACUGCAAAGCAUGCAGCCAGAUUGGAGGUUACUUCUCCUAGGAUCUGGCCCAACAUAUGGAGGGGAGCAAGUGCAUCUCUCUCCACGUGGCAUGCCAGCUCCCAUCUUUACUGACCCCCAACUGUACAUGCGAAGAUAGAUUGUCCAAAUGCCAUCUACACAUGUAAAUUCAAUCUGCACAAGUGAAAAUCACAUGGCCCCUCUCCUGGUUUAAUUAGGAAAUCAGCCACAUGCUUUUCACCUGGGACUGUUACAUUGAAUGUGGGUAGGUGGCAUCUGCCCAAGCGAGGAAUUGUGUUUACUCGCUGCUCUGCACACAGAGGGGCUGGAUCAGGGGAGACAUAUUGGCCUAUCUGGCCCAAGCAGAGGGAGGUGCAGGUAACACAUGCUCAUUGUAACAUGUAAACCAGCUGUUCAUCCUAAGCACCUGCAAAGCAGCUAACCUGGGACUGCCACGUUGAUGACAGCACCUAAACAGCCUCUGAGAAAGGAUGCCAGCAGCCAUGCAAUUGCUAGAAGCAAUGCUGAAAGUUGUAAUCAAAUGAAGCUAAUGAAGUUGUCUAUUUCGGAAUGUGAAAGAUUAUGCCGGAAACAUGUAAUA
Rhineura floridana is the source of this 1329-nucleotide long non-coding RNA. RefSeq lists it as uncharacterized. NCBI's taxonomy places the organism in Eukaryota, Metazoa, Chordata, Lepidosauria, Squamata, Rhineuridae. The record is from RefSeq and is a predicted model, not a curated record. The transcript is spliced from 4 exons.